Molecule: ribosomal RNA, 515 nt
Filed under: uncultured bacterium
Lineage: Bacteria
Description: partial 16S ribosomal RNA
Rfam family: Bacterial small subunit ribosomal RNA
Source: RNAcentral
GAUGAACGCUGGCGGCGUGCCUAAUACAUGCAAGUCGAGCGAAUGGAUUAAGAGCUUGCUCUUAUGAAGUUAGCGGCGGACGGGUGAGUAACACGUGGGUAACCUGCCCAUAAGACUGGGAUAACUCCGGGAAACCGGGGCUAGUACCGGAUAACAUUUUGAACCGCAUGGUUCGAAAUUGAAAGGCGGCUUCGGCUGUCACUUAUGGAUGGACCCGCGUCGCAUUAGCUAGUGGGGAGGGUACCGGCUCACCAAGGCAACGAUGCGUAGCCGACCUGAGAGGGGAAUCGGCCACACUGGGACUGAGACACGGCCCAGACUCCUACGGGAGGCAGCAGUAGGGAAUCUUCCGCAAUGGACGAAAGUCUGACGGAGCAACGCCGCGUGAGUGAUGAAGGCUUUCGGGUCGUAAAACUCUGUUGUUAGGGAAGAACAAGUGCUAGUUGAAUAAGCUGGCACCUUGACGGUACCUAACCAGAAAGCCACGGCUAACUACGUGCCAGCCGCCGCAGUAA